GUAGGUGAACCUGCGGAAGGAUCAUUACAAAUCCACGUCUCUCUUUCGAGACAAGUUGAAAUGUAGAAGUAAGAACGCGUCGUGCAUAUUAUAGUGUGCUGCUGUGUAGUACCACCAAGUACUACUACUCUCACACAGUGUAUGUACCACCUCCUCUUCUUCUAAACAACCAUUCUCACCUAUGUUGAUCAGUUGUAGAAUACAAAAACUUUACACAACUUAUAACAAUGGAUCUCUAGGCUCUUGCAUC
RNAcentral lists this unclassified non-coding RNA (250 nucleotides) under plant metagenome. RNAcentral's name for it is "partial contains small subunit ribosomal RNA, internal transcribed spacer 1, and 5.8S ribosomal RNA". The record is from RNAcentral.